UACGGAGGGAGCUAGCGUUGUUCGGAAUUACUGGGCGUAAAGCGCACGUAGGCGGCUAUUCAAGUCGGGGGUGAAAGCCCGGGGCUCAACCCCGGAACUGCCCUCGAAACUAGGUAGCUAGAAUCUUGGAGAGGCGAGUGGAAUUCCGAGUGUAGAGGUGAAAUUCGUAGAUAUUCGGAAGAACACCAGUGGCGAAGGCGGCUCUCUGGACCGAUACUGACGCUGAGGCGCGAAAGCGUGGGGAGCAAACAGG
Molecule: ribosomal RNA, 253 nt
Filed under: uncultured bacterium
Lineage: Bacteria
Description: partial 16S ribosomal RNA
Rfam family: Bacterial small subunit ribosomal RNA
Source: RNAcentral